AAAAUGUAUCUAUGCCUUCAAACGGGGGACAGUUGAAGCAAUAAGGACAGAGAGGGAACGACUUGCCUUCGGGACCAGGCAUGCUACAUAGCAACAGCUCGAAAUUAUCAAGGGGGCAAGUAAGCUCCUUGUAUAGCUUGACUGUACCCUUCUGAGGUACAUAAUAGACUUCCUCACAGGUACCACAGUACAGUCGAGCUGGUUGAGUAGAUAUGUAUUUCAUAUAUCGCAAGCAUUUGCCACAUUUACUGAGGAGACGUCCAGAGUCUGAAAGUGGAGAAAAUUGGGCUUCAAAUAGUGCGUCCAUGUUAUCAAUCUGCUUAACAAAAUAACUGAACUUCCUUCUGAAUUGUUCUAGUACAUGCUGCACAACCAUUGAAUGAUCUGCUUGACCUUUAGCUACCAAAGUGAUCUGGUGCUCAAUGAAACUUCGUAUGUCAGGCAA
RNAcentral lists this unclassified non-coding RNA (445 nucleotides) under Hevea brasiliensis (rubber tree). Lineage: Eukaryota; Viridiplantae; Streptophyta; Magnoliopsida; Malpighiales; Euphorbiaceae. The record is from RNAcentral.